This 330-nucleotide small nuclear RNA is filed under the name Nannospalax galili (Upper Galilee mountains blind mole rat). Its description in RNAcentral is "7SK RNA (ENSNGAG00000007734.1)". It matches the Rfam family "7SK RNA". From Rfam's summary of the family: 7SK was discovered as an abundant small nuclear RNA in the mid-70s but a possible function has only recently been suggested. Two independent studies have found that 7SK RNA binds the CDK9/cyclin T complex (known as elongation factor P-TEFb). P-TEFb activates transcription by phosphorylating the C-terminal domain of RNA polymerase II. Lineage: Eukaryota; Metazoa; Chordata; Mammalia; Rodentia; Spalacidae. The record is from RNAcentral.
GGAUGUGAGGGCAAUCUGGCUGCGACAUCUGUCACCCCAUUGAUCGCCAGGGUGGAUUUGGCUGAUCUGGCUGGCUAGGUGGAUGUCCCCUUCCUCAACGCUCCACAUGAAGCUGCAAGCUUGGUCAAAGAGGACGUCCUUCCCCGAUAGAGGAGGACUGGUCUUCAGUCAGUGGUAUACGAGUAGCUGUGUUCCCCUGCUAGGACCUCCAAACAAGCUCUCAGGUACACCUAAGAACUGAUCCCAGAGGCCUCUGAGCAGCUGGCUCCAGCCCAGAAUCCAUACAGUUAGAUCCCAGGGUGCCUCAGCUCACUGUGAUGAGCCUUCCUC